RNAcentral lists this ribosomal RNA (388 nucleotides) under uncultured bacterium. RNAcentral's name for it is "bacterial SSU rRNA". It matches the Rfam family "Bacterial small subunit ribosomal RNA", at positions 28 to 417 of the family's 1533-position model. The record is from RNAcentral.
GACGAACGCUGGCGGCGUGCUUAACACAUGCAAGUCGAGCGGUAAGGCCCUUUCGGGGGUACACGAGCGGCGAACGGGUGAGUAACACGUGGGUGACCUGCCCUCAGCUCUGGGAUAAGCCUGGGAAACCGGGUCUAAUACUGGAUAUGACUCCAUGACGCAUGUUGUGGGGUGGAAAGCCUUGUGCGGCUGAGGAUGGGCCCGCGGCCUAUCAGCUUGUUGGUGGGGUGAGGCCUACCAAGGCGACGACGGGUAGCCGGCCUGAGAGGGCGACCGGCCACACUGGGACUGAGACACGGGCCCAGACUCCUACGGGAGGCAGCAGUGGGGAAUCUUGCGCAAUGGGCGAAAGCCUGACGCAGCGACGCCGCGUGAGGGAUGACGGCCU